Molecule: ribosomal RNA, 228 nt
Filed under: uncultured bacterium
Lineage: Bacteria
Description: partial 16S ribosomal RNA
Rfam family: Bacterial small subunit ribosomal RNA
Source: RNAcentral
UACGUAGGGUGCGAGCGUUAAUCGGAAUUACUGGGCGUAAAGCGUGCGCAGGCGGUUUUGUAAGCCAGAUGUGAAAGCCCCGGGCUUAACCUGGGAAUGGCAUUUGGGACUGCAAGGCUUGAGUGCGGCAGAGGAGACUGGAAUUCCUGGUGUAGCAGUGAAAUGCGUAGAUAUCAGGAGGAAUACCGAUGGCGAAGGCAGGUCUCUGGGCUGACACUGACGCUCAUG